RNAcentral lists this ribosomal RNA (495 nucleotides) under uncultured bacterium. RNAcentral describes it as "partial 16S ribosomal RNA". It matches the Rfam family "Bacterial small subunit ribosomal RNA", at positions 28 to 507 of the family's 1533-position model. The record is from RNAcentral.
GACGAACGCUGGCGGCGUGCCUAAUACAUGCAAGUAGAACGCUGAAGGAGGAGCUUGCUUCUCUGGAUGAGUUGCGAACGGGUGAGUAACGCGUAGGUAACCUGCCUGGUAGCGGGGGAUAACUAUUGGAAACGAUAGCUAAUACCGCAUAAUAGUAGAUGUUGCAUGACAUUUGCUUAAAAGUUGCAAUUGCUUCACUACCAGAUGGAGCUGCGUUGUAUUAGCUAGUUGGUGGGGUAACGGCUCACCAAGGCGACGAUACAUAGCCGACCUGAGAGGGGGAGCGGCCAGACUGGGACUGUGACACGGCCCAGACUCCUACGGGAGGCAGCAGUAGUGAAUCUUCGGCAAUGGACGGAAGACUGACCGAGCAACGCCGCGUGAGUGAAGAAGGUUUUCGGAUCGUAAAGCUCUGUUGUAAGGGAAGAACGAGUGUGAGAGUGGAACGUUCACACUGUGACGGUAUCUUACCAGAAAGGGACGGCUAACUACGUG